AACACUGUUAACCUGCGGUACCUGCGGAAGGAUCAUUACCGAGUGAGGGCCCUCCGGGUCCAACCUCCCACCCGUGUUUAACGAACCUUGUUGCUUCGGCGGGCCCGCCUCACGGCCGCCGGGGGGCACCCCGCCCCCGGGCCCGCGCCCGCCGAAGACACCUGUGAACGCUGUCUGAAGUUGCAGUCUGAGACACUAGCUCAAUCAGUUAAAACUUUCAACAACGGAUCUCAGAUCGGA
This 240-nucleotide unclassified non-coding RNA is filed under the name soil metagenome. RNAcentral describes it as "partial contains 5.8S ribosomal RNA, internal transcribed spacer 2, and large subunit ribosomal RNA". The record is from RNAcentral.